ACAAAAAUUUUUUAGUGUCGGCUAACUUAAUUUUCAUAAUACCGAUACCUAUUUCUGUCGCUAGAGCGGCAUGGUGAUCACCUAGAUCCUAGUGACGUCACAGAAAACCCUUGAGCAUUGUAUAUUUAUAAACAUACAUGUGGAUAAAUAUUUUUUAGCGAUGUUCAUCGUUUUUACGUUUUUUAAGAAAUAAAAUAAGUAUUUCUAAAAAUGGUGAAAAAGUGUGUGAUAAAAAAUUGUCUUAGUGGCUCUUCAGCUGAAAGAAAAUUAAAAUCGCAGUUAAAUCAACGACAAACAGCUUUAUUCCAAGUACCAAAAGACCCCGAAAUGUUGCAACUAUGGAGCUCAGCAAUAUCUCAACAACUUUGUCACAAAAAUUUUAUCUGUCUAGAUUUGAUUUGAAAAUGGGUGCAGUUCCAAUACUGACCGAUGUGACAAAUAAUGACACAACUUCAUCAAAUGAUUAUUUUCGUACCAGCCAUCAUUGUACUGAUAAUGAUGAUUUGCAUACAACAAAAAAUGUAAGCGAUUUAUCCAAUGAGUUACAGCAACAAUUUGCUAGCUCUGCAUUGGACGAUGAAAUUAUUAAUAAUGCUCACUGUACAGAAAAUUUGAGUGAAGAAUUCGAAGAACAAAUGUCAGUUGCAGAUAAUUUUAUAUUGCCAUGUCAUAACAAUUCUGCUCCAUUUUCACUAAAUGAGAUAUUACAACUUAUAAAAGACCGGGGAGUACCCCAAAAUUGGUGUUGGCCUAAACAAUUGGAAACAAAGCCACAUGUGAUUUUAUAUUACAUUGACAAUUUUUUGGAGAAACUAAAAUUAUCAAUUAAAAUUGGUUAUGAUUUGACAGUCCAGAUAACUAUCUUGGAAACGGGAGUUGCUAUUAAUUAUAAUUAUUCAAUAACAUCGCCGACAUCGUUUUGGAAUAUGCUACGAGAAAUAGAAACUUGUCAGUUCUGUAGUGGCGCUGGACUUAACGGAAGAUGCUCAACCGCAUGUGAAGGUAUUUUACAAUCCGAUAAAAAAUAUAAACGAUUUAAAAGAGAAAUUAGAUGUUUAGGUUGUCGCAAGUUACGAAAGAGAUUAUUAAUAUUAGCAAAGAAAAAGAAAGAAGAUUUAAAUAGUCGUUAUAUCACGAUUAAACGUAAACUUCAUGCAAAACAAUAACAUUUACGUCGUCUACAUUUAAAGAGCCAGCAGUUGAUAAAUAUUACCACUACCUUUCAAGGAUACAUUAAAUCGUUAUAUUAAUAAACUAGACAGUGCAUUUGGUUUUCCCCAAGCAAUAUUUGAUACUCUUCGUUUGAAAGCAUCGCGAAUGGAAAAUUGGGCCCAUUAUUAUAUAUUUACAAAAUCAGCAAAAAGCUAAAUCUACAGCUUCAUUAACAUUAAGCAACACUAACGUUAUGUUUAAAUAAAUAGAAAAAAAAAUCCAUUGGUACUUUAUUAAUUGAUGAAAUUUCUUUAAGUGAAUCAGUAAAAUUAAAUACGAAAACAAUGGAGUUCAAUGGCUUUGUCAAUUUAGGUGAUUACACUCCUCAACAUUUAAUAAAUGAAAGAGCUGAUCAUGCAUUAGUUUUCAUGUAUCAACUUUUCCAUGGCUCAUGGGUACAAGUUCUGGGAUACUUUUUGAGUAAAACUGCAAUCACGAAAGAUAUUUUACAUAAACUAAUUACCGAUUGCAUCAUUCAUCGAUCGUAUAAUACGUCUAGGCAACUAUGGUUUAUGUCUGACUUUCCUCACUUAUUAAAAUGCUAUCGUACCAACAUCCUUAAAAAGCCAUCGUUUUGGACUCCAGAUGGAAUAGUCAAAAAAAGUCAUUGGGAGGCUUUAUUGCAACAUGAGCUUCAAUUUAGAUCCAACCUGAAAGUAUCCUAUAAAUUAACGUCGCAACAUUUAAACCCAGUAGGGUAUCAGAAAAUGAAUGUUCGUUUAGAUGAAGAUGUAUAAUAGGUUUAAAAGAUUGAAUUUUUUUAUUAAUAUUUUUCAAAAGCUUUUUAUCUUAACAACAUGAAGUUUUCGAGCAAGUCAAUCAUAAUAUCAAGUAUUUAUUAUUUAUACGAAUAUAUUCACCGUUUUAUUAGAAACAAAUUUUAUGGAUAUAAAAGUUUUAUAAAUCGUAAAUAAAUAUUUUCACAGAUAAUUUAA
RNAcentral lists this unclassified non-coding RNA (2147 nucleotides) under Cotesia glomerata. RNAcentral describes it as "uncharacterized LOC123265867, transcript variant X6". Lineage: Eukaryota; Metazoa; Arthropoda; Insecta; Hymenoptera; Braconidae. The record is from RNAcentral.